GGGUCCGGGGGUUGUGGGCCUCCGGAGGUCAGCGCGGGUGGUCGGGCCGCCACCCG
This 56-nucleotide non-coding RNA is filed under the name unclassified sequences. Its description in RNAcentral is "Li+-I sequence". It matches the Rfam family "nhaA-I RNA". From Rfam's summary of the family: Acidobacteria, Alphaproteobacteria, Betaproteobacteria and Gammaproteobacteria, Verrucomicrobia, cand. division NC10. Downstream gene The record is from Rfam by way of RNAcentral.